RNAcentral lists this transfer RNA (93 nucleotides) under Salicibibacter cibarius. RNAcentral's name for it is "Salicibibacter sp. NKC5-3 tRNA-Ser". It matches the Rfam family "tRNA". Rfam says of the family: Transfer RNA (tRNA) molecules are approximately 80 nucleotides in length. The record is from RNAcentral. RNAcentral also lists the same sequence under 1 other name. Lineage: Bacteria; Bacillati; Bacillota; Bacilli; Caryophanales; Bacillaceae.
GGAGGAGUACCCAAGUUCGGCUGAAGGGGGUAGACUCGAAAUCUACUAGGGGCUUCACGGCCCGCGGGGGUUCGAAUCCCUCCUCCUCCGCCA